RNAcentral lists this ribosomal RNA (451 nucleotides) under uncultured bacterium. RNAcentral's name for it is "bacterial SSU rRNA". It matches the Rfam family "Bacterial small subunit ribosomal RNA", at positions 100 to 549 of the family's 1533-position model. The record is from RNAcentral.
GCACGGGUGAGUAACACGUAUCCAACCUGCCGUCUACUCUUGGACAGCCUUCUGAAAGGAAGAUUAAUACAAGAUGGCAUCAUGAGUCCACAUGUUCACAUGAUUAAAGGUAUUCCGGUAGACGAUGGGGAUGCGUUCCAUUAGAUAGUAGGCGGGGUAACGGCCCACCUAGUCUUCGAUGGAUAGGGGUUCUGAGAGGAAGGUCCCCCACAUUGGAACUGAGACACGGUCCAAACUCCUACGGGAGGCAGCAGUGAGGAAUAUUGGUCAAUGGGCGAGAGCCUGAACCAGCCAAGUAGCGUGAAGGAUGACUGCCCUAUGGGUUGUAAACUUCUUUUAUAAAGGAAUAAAGUCGGGUAUGCAUACCCGUUUGCAUGUACUUUAUGAAUAAGGAUCGGCUAACUCCGUGCCAGCAGCCGCGGUAAUACGGAGGAUCCGAGCGUUAUCCGGA